Molecule: ribosomal RNA, 912 nt
Filed under: Irpex lacteus
Lineage: Eukaryota; Fungi; Basidiomycota; Agaricomycetes; Polyporales; Irpicaceae
Description: partial large subunit ribosomal RNA
Rfam family: Eukaryotic large subunit ribosomal RNA
Source: RNAcentral
CAUCAUAGCGGAGGAAAGAAACUAACAAGGAUUCCCCUAGUAACUGCGAGUGAAGCGGGAAAAGCUCAAAUUUAAAAUCUGGCGGCUUUGGUCGUCCGAGUUGUAUUCUAGAGAAGUGUUUUCCGCGUUGGACCGUGUAUAAGUCUCUUGGAAUAGAGCGUCAUAGAGGGUGAGAAUCCCGUCUUUGACACGGACUACCAAUGCUUUGUGAUACACUCUCAAAGAGUCGAGUUGUUUGGGAAUGCAGCUCAAAAUGGGUGGUAAAUUCCAUCUAAAGCUAAAUAUUGGCGAGAGACCGAUAGCGAACAAGUACCGUGAGGGAAAGAUGAAAAGCACUUUGGAAAGAGAGUUAAACAGUACGUGAAAUUGCUGAAAGGGAAACGCUUGAAGUCAGUCGCGUUAGCUAGAACUCAACCAGGCUUGCUUGGCGUAUUUUCUAGUUAACGGGCCAGCAUCAGUUUUGACCGCAGGAAAAGGGCCAGGGAAAUGUGGCAUCUUCGGAUGUGUUAUAGUCUCUGGUCGUAUACUGUGAUUGGGACUGAGGACCGCAGCACGCGCAAGCUGUGCUUAGGAUGCUGGCGUAAUGGCUUUAAACGACCCGUCUUGAAACACGGACCAAGGAGUCUAACAAACCUGCGAGUAUUUGGGUGGUAAACCCGAGUGCGCAAUGAAAGUGAAAGUUGGGAUCCCUGUCGUGGGGAGCACCGACGCCCGGACCAGACCUUCUGUGACGGAUCUGCGGUAGAGCAUGUUUGUUGGGACCCGAAAGAUGGUGAACUAUGCCUGAAUAGGGUGAAGCCAGAGGAAACUCUGGUGGAGGCUCGUAGCGAUUCUGACGUGCAAAUCGAUCGUCAAAUUUGGGUAUAGGGGCGAAAGACUAAUCGAACCAUCUAGUACUGGGUCUCAAAAAUC